This 478-nucleotide ribosomal RNA is filed under the name uncultured bacterium. Its description in RNAcentral is "partial 16S ribosomal RNA". It matches the Rfam family "Bacterial small subunit ribosomal RNA", at positions 28 to 523 of the family's 1533-position model. The record is from RNAcentral.
GACGAACGCUGGCGGCGUGCUUAACACAUGCAAGUCGAACGGUAAGGCCCUUCGGGGUACACGAGUGGCGAACGGGUGAGUAACACGUGGGUGAUCUGCCCUGCACUUCGGGAUAAGCCUGGGAAACUGGGUCUAAUACCGGAUAGGACUCCUGCCUGCAUGGGUGGGGGUGGAAAGCUUUUGCGGGGUGGGGUGGGCCCGCGGCCUAUCAGCUUGUUGGUGGGGUGAUGGCCUACCAAGGCGACGACGGGUAGCCGGCCUGAGAGGGUGACCGGCCACACUGGGACUGAGAUACGGCCCAGACUCGUACGGGAGGCAGCAGUGGGGAAUAUUGCACAAUGGGCGCAAGCCUGAUGCAGCGACGCCGCGUGAGGGAUGACGGCCUUCGGGUUGUAAACCUCUUUCAGCACAGACGAAGCGCAAGUGACGGUAUGUGCAGAAGAAGGACCGGCCAACUACGUGCCAGCCGCCGCGGUAA